RNAcentral lists this ribosomal RNA (446 nucleotides) under uncultured bacterium. RNAcentral describes it as "SSU rRNA". It matches the Rfam family "Bacterial small subunit ribosomal RNA", at positions 26 to 518 of the family's 1533-position model. The record is from RNAcentral.
AGAAUGAACGCUGGCGGCAUGCCUAACACAUGCAAGUCGAACGAAGGCUUCGGCCUUAGUGGCGCACGGGUGCGUAACGCGUGGGAAUCUACCCUUAGGUUCGGAAUAACAGUUGGAAACGACUGCUAAAUACCGGAUGAUGACGUAAGUCCAAAGAUUUAUCGCCUAGGGAUGAGCCCGCGUAGGAUUAGCUAGUUGGUGUGGUAAAGGCGCACCAAGGCGACGAUCCUUAGCUGGUCUGAGAGGAUGAUCAGCCACACUGGGACUGAGACACGGCCCAGACUCCUACGGGAGGCAGCAGUGGGGAAUAUUGGACAAUGGGCGAAAGCCUGAUCCAGCAAUGCCGCGUGAGUGAUGAAGGCCUUAGGGUUGUAAAGCUCUUUACCCGGGAUGAUAAUGACAGUACCGGGAGAAUAAGCUCCGGCUAACUCCGCGCCAGCAGCCGC